RNAcentral lists this ribosomal RNA (1550 nucleotides) under Klebsiella pneumoniae subsp. pneumoniae. RNAcentral's name for it is "bacterial SSU rRNA". It matches the Rfam family "Bacterial small subunit ribosomal RNA". Lineage: Bacteria; Pseudomonadati; Pseudomonadota; Gammaproteobacteria; Enterobacterales; Enterobacteriaceae. The record is from RNAcentral.
AAAUUGAAGAGUUUGAUCAUGGCUCAGAUUGAACGCUGGCGGCAGGCCUAACACAUGCAAGUCGAGCGGUAGCACAGAGAGCUUGCUCUCGGGUGACGAGCGGCGGACGGGUGAGUAAUGUCUGGGAAACUGCCUGAUGGAGGGGGAUAACUACUGGAAACGGUAGCUAAUACCGCAUAACGUCGCAAGACCAAAGUGGGGGACCUUCGGGCCUCAUGCCAUCAGAUGUGCCCAGAUGGGAUUAGCUAGUAGGUGGGGUAACGGCUCACCUAGGCGACGAUCCCUAGCUGGUCUGAGAGGAUGACCAGCCACACUGGAACUGAGACACGGUCCAGACUCCUACGGGAGGCAGCAGUGGGGAAUAUUGCACAAUGGGCGCAAGCCUGAUGCAGCCAUGCCGCGUGUGUGAAGAAGGCCUUCGGGUUGUAAAGCACUUUCAGCGGGGAGGAAGGCGGUGAGGUUAAUAACCUCAUCGAUUGACGUUACCCGCAGAAGAAGCACCGGCUAACUCCGUGCCAGCAGCCGCGGUAAUACGGAGGGUGCAAGCGUUAAUCGGAAUUACUGGGCGUAAAGCGCACGCAGGCGGUCUGUCAAGUCGGAUGUGAAAUCCCCGGGCUCAACCUGGGAACUGCAUUCGAAACUGGCAGGCUAGAGUCUUGUAGAGGGGGGUAGAAUUCCAGGUGUAGCGGUGAAAUGCGUAGAGAUCUGGAGGAAUACCGGUGGCGAAGGCGGCCCCCUGGACAAAGACUGACGCUCAGGUGCGAAAGCGUGGGGAGCAAACAGGAUUAGAUACCCUGGUAGUCCACGCCGUAAACGAUGUCGAUUUGGAGGUUGUGCCCUUGAGGCGUGGCUUCCGGAGCUAACGCGUUAAAUCGACCGCCUGGGGAGUACGGCCGCAAGGUUAAAACUCAAAUGAAUUGACGGGGGCCCGCACAAGCGGUGGAGCAUGUGGUUUAAUUCGAUGCAACGCGAAGAACCUUACCUGGUCUUGACAUCCACAGAACUUUCCAGAGAUGGAUUGGUGCCUUCGGGAACUGUGAGACAGGUGCUGCAUGGCUGUCGUCAGCUCGUGUUGUGAAAUGUUGGGUUAAGUCCCGCAACGAGCGCAACCCUUAUCCUUUGUUGCCAGCGGUCCGGCCGGGAACUCAAAGGAGACUGCCAGUGAUAAACUGGAGGAAGGUGGGGAUGACGUCAAGUCAUCAUGGCCCUUACGACCAGGGCUACACACGUGCUACAAUGGCAUAUACAAAGAGAAGCGACCUCGCGAGAGCAAGCGGACCUCAUAAAAGUAUGUCGUAGUCCGGAUUGAGUCUGCAACUCGACUCCAUGAAGUCGGAAUCGCUAGUAAUCGUAGAUCAGAAUGCUACGGUGAAUACGUUCCCGGGCCUUGUACACACCGCCCGUCACACCAUGGGAGUGGGUUGCAAAAGAAGUAGGUAGCUUAACCUUCGGGAGGGCGCUUACCACUUUGUGAUUCAUGACUGGGGUGAAGUCGUAACAAGGUAACCGUAGGGGAACCUGCGGUUGGAUCACCUCCUUACCUUAAAGAA